UGAGCAACCUGCCCCUCUCUCUGGGAUAACCCCGGGAAACCGGAGCUAAUACCGGAUACUCCGGCUGGAUCGCAUGGUCCGGCCGGGAAAGGUCCGCCGGAGAGGGAUGGGCCCGCGGCCUAUCAGCUUGUUGGUGGGGUCAUGGCUCACCAAGGCGACGACGGGUAGCUGGUCUGAGAGGGUGACCGGCCACACUGGGACUGAGACACGGCCAGACUCCUACGG
Molecule: ribosomal RNA, 225 nt
Filed under: uncultured bacterium
Lineage: Bacteria
Description: partial 16S ribosomal RNA
Rfam family: Bacterial small subunit ribosomal RNA
Source: RNAcentral